This 1296-nucleotide long non-coding RNA is filed under the name Equus caballus (horse). Its description in RNAcentral is "lncRNA (ENSECAG00000055797.1)". The record is from RNAcentral. Lineage: Eukaryota; Metazoa; Chordata; Mammalia; Perissodactyla; Equidae.
ACACAAUUGGCCUGGAAGGAGCCCAGGAGGUGUGAUGGGGGCACCCUAGGGAGGGGGAGGGGCCUGCAGUCAGGCAUCUGGGUAGGCUGGCCUGUCACUGGGGGCUCUUUUGAGUAGUUUGAAUUUUUUACUGUGGGUGUGGAGCAUGUACAACAAACAAAAUUAAAAAUGUAAGAAACAAACAGAGGGAUUCUCCUAAGGGUAAAGAGAGAGGACAGGGUGGGGACACUGUGGGGGCCUCACACGGUAGCAGCCCCCUCCCCCACAGAAACUUCUCCAUCUCGUGAAGUCUCUGGGUCAAUCCUCACAGCAGAGAGGGGUUGCAGAUGAGCAUCUGAGGCUCAGAGAAGUUGAACAACCUAUUUGAGGACACACAGCAGGAGCCAGGAGUCCCCAGGGACACUGCCCUGGCUUCUGCAGCAAUGUGUGCUCUUCCAGGUGUCAGUCGUUUGCUCCUGUCCACGCUGGAGCUCCACUCCACGUGGCCAAGGGCACAGCCACAGCCACAGGCGUGGGCUAGGUGGUGACUCGACGCAGACUUGGACCCCAACUCUGACCUCAGCCUGGGAGUGCACAAGGACAGAAGCUGUCUGCAGCUAAGCCAGUGGGCCUUUAUUAAGGGCCAUCUGUGCGCUGGGGUGUUGCCUCUGGACCCCAUGAACAUGGGGAACUGUACCCCCUCCAGACCUCAUCUCUUGGGACUCCUGGGAUCUUACACGCCUUGCCCCCAACUCUACCCCGUAUGUUUCAUCUCAGCCUUUGUGGACCCUCCUGAGUGCCUGCUUCAUGCUGGGUGCAGGGGAUACUGUGGGUGGGACCUGGCUCAGCUCAUGGAAGGGGCAGGCAGGGAAGGCUUCCUGGAGGAAGAGGGGCCUAAGCAAGGGUUAUGGGAUAGGUCAGAUAGGCAGUGGAAACAGGAGCAGCCUGAGGCCCAGGUGAGGAACAGGCCAUCCGCAGGCUGUUCCGCAUCACUAGAACCCAGCGUGCUGGGCAGGCCUGGAGGGAGCCAGGGAUGGCUGGAAAGGGCAGAGGGGCAUGGUCUGAACUGAGUUAGGGUCCAGGAGGGGCCUCGACUGGGCAGGUGUGUGUGAGGAGUGCCCCUGGGACCCUGAGCACCACUGCUCAGCAUGGGACACGGUGGGGUCCUCCUGGAUCCUACAGCUGGCUAGGGCCCCAGAGCAGCAAGCUGCCAAGAGCAUGGAGCAGCACGUGACAUUCUUCUCGCCUGCAUAGUAGUUCUGUGAGUCAUCCACACAGGCCGAGCUGCACCCCUUGCUGAUGACGGUCAGGAGGCCA